This 460-nucleotide ribosomal RNA is filed under the name uncultured bacterium. RNAcentral's name for it is "partial 16S ribosomal RNA". It matches the Rfam family "Bacterial small subunit ribosomal RNA", at positions 338 to 795 of the family's 1533-position model. The record is from RNAcentral.
CCUACGGGUGGCAGCAGUGAGGAAUAUUGGUCAAUGGACGAGAGUCUGAACCAGCCAAGUAGCGUGAAGGAUGACUGCCCUAUGGGUUGUAAACUUCUUUUAUAUGGGAAUAAAAUGUUCCACGUGUGGGAUUUUGUAUGUACCAUAUGAAUAAGGAUCGGCUAACUCCGUGCCAGCAGCCGAGGUAAUCCGGAGGAUCCGAGCGUUAUCCGGAUUGAUGGGGUUGAACGGGAGCGUAGGUGGAUUGUUAAGUCAGUUGUGAAAGUGUGCGGCUCAACCGUAGAAUUGCAGUUGAAACUGGCAGUCUUGAGUACAGUAGAGGGGGGUGGAAUUCGUGGUGUAGCGGUGAAAUGCUUAGAUAUCUCGAAGAACUCCGAUGGCGAAGGCAGCCCACUGGACUGAAACUGACACUGAGGUUCGAAAGUGUGGGUAUCAAACAGGAUUAGAUACCCGAGUAGUC